This 119-nucleotide ribosomal RNA is filed under the name Triticum aestivum (bread wheat). Lineage: Eukaryota; Viridiplantae; Streptophyta; Magnoliopsida; Poales; Poaceae. The record is from RNAcentral.
GGAUGCGGCCAUACCAGCACUAAAGCACCGAAUCCCAUUAGAACUCCGAAGUUAAGAGUGCUUGGGCGAGAGUAGUACUAGGAUGGGUGACCUCCUGGGAAGUCCUCGUGUUGCGUUCC